ACAGAUGUAAGUGUGGUAACACAUUGAGUCGAGUGAUACUAAUAGCUCGUGAGGCUUGACCAUAUU
RNAcentral lists this ribosomal RNA (66 nucleotides) under Leptospira fluminis. Its description in RNAcentral is "partial 23S ribosomal RNA". The record is from RNAcentral. Lineage: Bacteria; Pseudomonadati; Spirochaetota; Leptospiria; Leptospirales; Leptospiraceae.